UACGAAGGGGGCUAGCGUUGCUCGGAAUCACUGGGCGUAAAGCGCACGUAGGCGGAUUGCUAAGUCAGGGGUGAAAUCCUGGAGCUCAACUCCAGAACUGCCCUUGAUACUGGCGGUCUCGAGUUCGGGAGAGGUGAGUGGAACUGCGAGUGUAGAGGUGAAAUUCGUAGAUAUUCGCAAGAACACCAGUGGCGAAGGCGGCUCACUGGCCCGAUACUGACGCUGAGGUGCGAAAGCGUGGGGAGCAAACAGG
This 253-nucleotide ribosomal RNA is filed under the name uncultured bacterium. RNAcentral describes it as "partial 16S ribosomal RNA". It matches the Rfam family "Bacterial small subunit ribosomal RNA", at positions 524 to 776 of the family's 1533-position model. The record is from RNAcentral.